AAAGCACCGGCCCCGCAAAAGGUUUAAUAACCUCAAAAGGAAAAUUUGUCUGGGGGGCGCCGCACAAACGGCCACAAAAGGUUUAACAACCCCAAAAGGAAACUUUGACUGGGGGGCACCGCGCAAACGGGUGUAAAGCAUGUUGGUUUUAAUUUCCGAGUGCAAGCGCGAAAGACCCCUUAGCCUGGGGCCUUUAACCAGAGGCCGGGAAUCCCUGCAGAAGAUGUGGGAGUGCCCUUCGGGGGGAAUCGGGAACACAGGGUGCUUGCAUGGCUUUGUCGUCAGCUCAGUGUCGUGAGAUGUUGGGUUAAGUGGCCGCACCGAAGCGCAACCCCUUGUCUUUAAGUUGCCCAACGGGGUUCGGGCCCGGGGCAACUCUAGAGAAGGGCCUGCCCGGUGACAACCCGAAGGAAGGUGGGAAAUGAGGUCAAGUCCUCAUGGCCUUUAUGUACAGGGCUACACACGUGCUACAAUGGCGCGUACAGAGGGAAGCCAACCCGCGAGGGGGAGCAGACCCCAGAAAGCGCGCCGUAGUUCGGAUUGCAGUCUGCAACUGGGACUGCAUGAAGUCGGAAUCGCUAGUAAUCGCGGAUCAGCAUGCCCCCGGUGAAUACGUUCCCGGGCCUUGUACACACCGCCCGUCACACCAUGGGAGUAGAUUGUACCAGAAGCGGCUAGCUCAACCUUCGGGAGGGCGGUCACCACGGUAUGGUUUAUGACUGGGGUGAAGUCGUAACAAGGUAGCCGGAGGGGAACCUGCGGUUGGAACACCUCAAU
Molecule: ribosomal RNA, 777 nt
Filed under: uncultured bacterium
Lineage: Bacteria
Description: bacterial SSU rRNA
Rfam family: Bacterial small subunit ribosomal RNA
Source: RNAcentral